Molecule: long non-coding RNA, 1545 nt
Organism: Biomphalaria glabrata
Lineage: Eukaryota; Metazoa; Mollusca; Gastropoda; Planorbidae
Exons: 2
Source: RefSeq, a predicted model, not a curated record
UCUGCUUACAACACAUCCAGAAUUCAAUACUCUGAUCAGUUCGUUGUUUCCACUUUAAAAAAAAAAGACUGUGCUAAAGUGUAUGUAUGUGUGGACGUGGCUUAGUAAGAGGCUUAAAUGUAGGACCAUUCGUUUACCCCCCCCCCUCUCUCUCCCCGGCCUCUUUCUCUAAUUGCAACUAGUCAAUUUUAACUAACAAGCAAGAAGACUCAACUAUUUCUUCUUCUUCUUGUUUUCCAACAGUCUAUAUCAUUUUUUUUUUGUUUAUAACCAUUGUAUAACUUUGUUAUAAAUUGUGCCCUGACAAAGCUUAAAAAAAAAAAUGAACAUUGGUAUGUGUGGCAAAAAAAAAAGGAUGGGGGGGUGGGGUGUUUUAACAAAAGAAGAGUUUGACAUUAAAUAAUCUGAAGAAUGAGUCUGUGAGAAUUAGAACUGUUGGUGCCUGUAUCUAGAAAGUUUACGUUCAACGUUUAAGGUCUGUCUUAAAUCUAUUGUAAAGUUUAAAAUUUGGUCACAGGUGAUGGCGAGUGCUGCUUCAAACAAGGUAUGGGAGAUUAUGUUUACUUUUGUAUCAACUUUCAAGUGGUCAAGAAGACAUAUCACAAAACAAUGAAGACACAUUCCAUGUCAACUAUAUAUCAUCCCUCUACAACCCCUAGACAUGAUGUAUUUAAAACAGGACAUUCGGGACACAUUAUGAUACAUAACAAUACCAGCAACAAGAACACAGCAUCUAUAAUUAGAUAUUUUCAUGCUUCCAUAUGUACACAACACCACUUUACAAUAUAAGAUCCUACAUAAGCUGCUUAUAAGCAUGGGAUCAGCAAGUUUUCCCUUACCUGAAUAAGUAAUGCUUAAUGAUAGUAUUAACAAAGUAUUUAGUAUCAGGCUCUGGUUUCAUGUCUGGAACCAAUUACUACUUAGGUUACACCUGAAAUCAGACUACAAUCAACUUUGGGACAGCCAGGUCAAGCCAAAUAUAGAGCUGAUGAAAGUUGAGCGGAAAAUUUUCCCCUUUCAAUAAAUCAAUAGCUCACAGCCAAACCCAUGUAGAUUGAAUCAGCAGGAUGCUUUGAAACGUAAGGAAGAAUAAAAUGGCUGAUGGAUAGGUACCAAGUUUAAAUCAAAUAAUUUUUUUAAAAGUAUUUAGCAAUAAUUUUUUUUUUUUAAAUUAUAAUAUUGAUAAAAGUCAGAACACAUACAAAUAAAAGAGAAGAGUUAUUCCAGAUGCUAGAACAAAUGUAUAGUUUAGACCUAUGAGAGACUCUGACCUACAUAUGUUUACUAAAUUCAAUGAAAAAAUACACUUUAAGUCUCAAAACAAGAAAAAUAUAAAAAAUUAAAAACAAAGCUUAUAUUAGUUGUAAUGGUAUCAAUUACUUUGUAGAAAGAAGGGGAUACAUCUUAUAGAAAGGUACUGUGAUAGCUUUUUAAAUGUAUUUAUAUUUUUUUUUAAGUUGUACGACUAUAAUCAACUCAGGGGCCUCCUCAAACCAAUACACCUUACAAAUACCAAGUGCUUAUGGAAAUAAAAGGUUUCAUUGC